RNAcentral lists this ribosomal RNA (592 nucleotides) under uncultured fungus. RNAcentral describes it as "eukaryotic LSU rRNA". The stretch from base 236 to 389 matches the Rfam family "5.8S ribosomal RNA". The record is from RNAcentral. Lineage: Eukaryota; Fungi.
AAGUCGUAACAAGGUCUCCGUUGGUGAACCAGCGGAGGGAUCAUUACCGAGUUAUACAACUCCCAAACCCACUGUGAACCUUACCUCAGUUGCCUCGGCGGGAACGCCCCGGCCGCCUGCCCCCGCGCCGGCGCCGGACCCAGGCGCCCGCCGCAGGGACCCCAAACUCUCUUGCAUUACGCCCAGCGGGCGGAAUUUCUUCUCUGAGUUGCACAAGCAAAAACAAAUGAAUCAAAACUUUCAACAACGGAUCUCUUGGUUCUGGCAUCGAUGAAGAACGCAGCGAAAUGCGAUAAGUAAUGUGAAUUGCAGAAUUCAGUGAAUCAUCGAAUCUUUGAACGCACAUUGCGCCCGCCAGCAUUCUGGCGGGCAUGCCUGUUCGAGCGUCAUUUCAACCCUCGAGCCCCCCCGGGGGCCUCGGUGUUGGGGGACGGCACACCAGCCGCCCCCGAAAUGCAGUGGCGACCCCGCCGCAGCCUCCCCUGCGUAGUAGCACACACCUCGCACCGGAGCGCGGAGGCGGUCACGCCGUAAAACGCCCAACUUUCUUAGAGUUGACCUCGGAUCAGGUAGGAAUACCCGCUGAACUUAA